This 90-nucleotide transfer RNA is filed under the name Rhodospirillaceae bacterium. RNAcentral's name for it is "tRNA-Ser". It matches the Rfam family "tRNA". From Rfam's summary of the family: Transfer RNA (tRNA) molecules are approximately 80 nucleotides in length. RNAcentral also lists the same sequence under 1 other name. The record is from RNAcentral. Lineage: Bacteria; Pseudomonadati; Pseudomonadota; Alphaproteobacteria; Rhodospirillales; Rhodospirillaceae.
GGAGGGGUGGCCGAGUGGCUGAAGGCGCUGGUUUGCUAAAUCAGUAGGCGGGUAACCGUCUCGAGGGUUCGAAUCCCUCUCCCUCCGCCA